Molecule: ribosomal RNA, 454 nt
Filed under: Caraguata nr. pallida JJG139
Lineage: Eukaryota; Metazoa; Arthropoda; Insecta; Coleoptera; Chrysomelidae
Description: partial 28S ribosomal RNA
Source: RNAcentral
ACCGUUCAGGGGUAAACCUGAGAAACCCGAAGGUCGAAAGAGGAAAUUUCAUUCGCGUUUCGAUUGUCGAAGUUGAACGUUUUUAUGACGGAUUAUGUGUGCUUCGCGGUUCACCGAUCCGCAUAUUAUGUUUUUCGAAUCGAUAUCGAACGCGUGCACUUUUCCUCUAGUAGGACGUCGUGAUCCGUUGGGUAUCUGUCUAAGACUCGAGAUGGAGACCAUGUGAUUUUUUAUGAUUAUGUGGACACUCGAUGUUCCGAUAGAUUCGCUCGACGGUAUAAAUAUGGCGCGGGGCCGCUAUUUAGUUAGCGUUCGGCCCGUAGCAAGCACGUUUCGUGUUUGACGGUGAUCGGAUCUAAUGCCGAUUCUGUCCCGGAACGACUGUUGGUUACGGUGUAUUUAAUCUCGAACAGACCUCGUUUUUUGAAACGCCGAUCGACGACGCGAUAGAUUU